Molecule: ribosomal RNA, 385 nt
Filed under: uncultured bacterium
Lineage: Bacteria
Description: bacterial SSU rRNA
Rfam family: Bacterial small subunit ribosomal RNA
Source: RNAcentral
GACGAACGCUGGCGGCGUGCUUAACACAUGCAAGUCGAGCGGUAAGGCCCUUUCGGGGGUACACGAGCGGCGAACGGGUGAGUAACACGUGGGUGACCUGCCCUUAGCUCUGGGAUAAGCCUGGGAAACUGGGUCUAAUACCGGAUAUGACUCCAUGACGCAUGUUGUGGGGUGGAAAGCCUUGUGCGGCUAGGGAUGGGCCCGCGGCCUAUCAGCUUGUUGGUGGGGUGAUGGCCACCAAGGCGACGACGGUAGCCGGCCUGAGAGGGCGACCGGCCACAUUGGGACUGAGACACGGCCCAGACUCCUACGGGAGGCAGCAGUGGGGAAUCUUGCGCAAUGGGCGAAAGCCUGACGCAGCGACGCCGCGUGGGGAGUGACGGCC